AUUGAACGCUGGCGGCAUGCCUUACACAUGCAAGUCGAACGGCAGCACGGGAGCAAUCCUGGUGGCGAGUGGCGAACGGGUGAGUAAUAUAUCGGAACGUGCCCAGUCGUGGGGGAUAACGUAGCGAAAGCUACGCUAAUACCGCAUACGAUCUACGGAUGAAAGCGGGGGAUCGCAAGACCUCGCGCGAUUGGAGCGGCCGAUAUCAGAUUAGCUAGUUGGUGGGGUAAAGGCCCACCAAGGCGACGAUCUGUAGCUGGUCUGAGAGGACGACCAGCCGCACUGGGACUGAGACACGGCCCAGACUCCUACGGGAGGCAGCAGUGGGGAAUUUUGGACAAUGGGGGCAACCCUGAUCCAGCAAUGCCGCGUGAGUGAAGAAGGCCUCGG
This 390-nucleotide ribosomal RNA is filed under the name uncultured bacterium. RNAcentral's name for it is "bacterial SSU rRNA". It matches the Rfam family "Bacterial small subunit ribosomal RNA", at positions 29 to 420 of the family's 1533-position model. The record is from RNAcentral.